AGCUUUUAAAGAGGGCAGCACGCUCCUUUUGUCAUUUGGUCUGCGACGCUUUGCCACUUCUCUUUUUGGUCAGGGCUUGGCUUUCCAUCUAUUUGUGUCUGGGUUGGCAGGGUUCCAUUUGUUUUUCUUCGCCCGACUGAUUCUACCGUGGAUGACCUGCUCUGCCUGGGCCCUCUGAUUGUCUUUGCUUGAACACCUUUCAAGCUGCUGGGCGUUCCUCUUGGUUCAGCUUGGUUCACAUUGCCGUGAGCUUCUUUUAUGCUUUAGUUGUAAGGUGUUGCCGCCUUCUUUUUUGUUGCCUCUAUUCCAUGCCUUUGAAGGACACCUUUGUUCUUUCUUUUCAUGCUCUUUCAGUCUUUUUGCUUGGUUGCAUUUUCCUCUUUCAGAUUUCUGUUGUUCCCUUCAUUUACAUGCUUUUUUCAUGCUUGACAUUUUUUCACCUGCCAGCCACCUACAAUAUUUUGUUCAUUCACCGGCACUUGCUUUUAUUACGUGCAGGAAAUCUGUGUAGCAUUUCAUUCCUUUCUGCCUCUCAGAAGGCUUCUUGAGAUUAAUUCGAUAACGUGCUUUUACUGUUUUCAUUUAUGGUUUUUCCAUGGCUGUUAUAAAAUGCACCUUCUCACUCUUGCCUGUAUUGUUAACUGUUAAUCAUAACUUACUUAACCAUCAUGAAAACUGGUUGUUGAUGUGUUAAGCUGUAGAAGAACAACAGGUCACAGAGAAGCAACGAGAUUGUAUCUCAAAUGACCAUACUGCAACAAACUAGCUACCCAAUAUUCAAAGUUUUGAAAUCAACAAGAUUGUAUCUGUUUAAGUUGAAUUUUAAACUCGUGUGAUAUACAUGCAAAUAUGUGGGAUAGCAGUUAGUAUUAUUUUCUAUUUAAACUCUCUAUAAAUACACAUACACA
This 908-nucleotide long non-coding RNA is filed under the name Populus euphratica (Euphrates poplar). Lineage: Eukaryota; Viridiplantae; Streptophyta; Magnoliopsida; Malpighiales; Salicaceae. The record is from RNAcentral.